GCUGUAAGGGACGCCACUGGCCGUGUGGAAGCGCCGCCGCCGUCUCUUUGUUCUUUCGCUGAACACACGGCGCCUCUCAGGAAGGCGGUGUGCAGGCACGCGGGGACCGGGAGACAUCGCGGGGGCCCGGAGCCCGCCGCGGACGGGAGGCGGGGAGGAUAGGUGGCGGGAACCGGCCGAAGGGCGGGACGAAGCGCCGGCGGCUCUUGGCGGGAACCGGCGCCGCAGAGUUCCCGGGCGGGGGAGGGGCGGGGCGGGUGCUGGAAGCCAAGUUUGAACCAGUUCAAAACUCGGGGGUGGUAACGGUUUUAACCGCCGCGCUCGUUUCCCCGCGCGCGGAGCCGAGGCCCGGGCUGGCCGCUCCUAGUGGUGCCCGGGGAGGGGAGGGCGCGGGCCCCGGAGGUCGGCUCAGCUGUGGCGCCGCGUUUGCCGGGAGACGCUCGCCCGGCCCGCGCGCUGCCGCCGGACCCGUUACUACUUUUUUUUUUUUCUCCUGAGACGGAGUUUCGCUCUGGUUGUCCAGGCUGGAGUGCAAUGGCGCGAUCUCGACUCACCGCAACCUCCGCCUUCCGGGUUCAAGCGAUUCUCAUGCCUCAGCCUCCCGAGUAGCUGGAUUACAGGCAUGCGCCACCACGCCCGGCUAAUUUUCUAUUUUUAGUAGAGACGGGUCUUGGUCAGGCUGGUCUCGAACUCCCGACUUCUGGUGAUCCGCCCGCCUCGGCCUCCCAAAGUGCUGGGAUUACAGGCGUGAGCCACCGCCGCCGACCCGGGCCCUGUUUGAUUAUGUCUGCUGCUGCCUUGGCCGUUUUUUCCCCCACCGCUGGACUUUGGCUGGCCGAGCUUGCAGUGCUUAUCGCCCUAGAAACCUGUGAAAGGGCGACAUUGCUGCCAUUUCAGACCCUUCCACUGUUCGUAGUUCUAAGCACGUGUCAGUGUUAAAAAUCCUUUAUCAAGAUGAGCACUGUUCACUUGCCGCCUCUGCAAAGCGUGAGCCACUGCGCUGGGCCAGAAUUUUUCAUCAGAUGAUUUAGCCCAUAAUUUUCCCGCCUUUCCUAAAUCACCAUCCCAUUCCUCACAUAUAUUCUGAAUCACUCCAAUGUUGGAAAGUAUAUAUAAAGGGAAGCUAAAAGAUAAGGAGAAACAAGCAAUCAUGUGCCCAGAUAAAAGCAAAAUUGUCUUGUGAAUCAGUGAUAACACUGCAAAAAGUAAAUAGGUUAUGCAGCUGAGAUGUGACUGUAAAAUAACGUAACGAAUUAUAGCUGCCAUUACUUCCAGUCACGAAUACAUUCAUUCUCCAAGAUAAAAUGCAUCUGUCUAGGCCACCAAUUUACAAUUUUUUAAAACCAGCAAUUUAAACCUCAGAAAUUAACUACUUAUCCCUAAGUUGCUUAUCAAAUUACUGAACUUAUCAGUCCUGUAAUACUAAAUAUUAAAACAAGGCAUUUUUAAGAGGAAGAUCAACGAAAUUAGAGACUACCAUAAAGCAAAUCAAAGCAGUAUAUAACUCUGCAACAUGGUGUGAAAUGUCAUGUAAAUUGCUAGACGUUUAGAAUCAAGGAAUGGAUGGAUCAAGAUAUUCCAGGCCAGACUUAGUGGUUCACACCUGUAACCCCAGUACUUUCAGAAGUCGAGGUGGGAAGCUCCGAGACCAGCCUGGGCAACAUAGCAAGACCCUAUCUCUACAAGAAAUUUAAAAAAUAACUGAGUGUGGUGGCACAGAAGUACCUAUGGUCCCACCUGCCCCUGAGGCUGAGGUGAGGGGUCUGCUUGAGCUCAGGAUCCCAAGGUUACCGUGAGCUAUGAUCACAUCACUGUGCUCCAGCCUGAGCAACAGAGUGAGACCCUAUCUCUUUAAAAAAAAAAAAAAGUGAUUGGACAAAAUAUAAUUAUUGGCACCAAGUGAAUGUUAGGAAAAAAAAAAAACACGUACAAAGAACUUUAUAGAGCAGCCAUUCCCACUGGGAAGAGUGUGUAGGUUGGACUCUAACCAUUAAAGAGCUAGGUGGGAUGAUACUAAAUAUAUAUAACAGACAUUUAAUAUAAAUAUGAUAUGAAGGCUAAGGUGAAAAGGGAUGCCAGUGGAUCACAGUAUUUUCUUGAUUCAAUGAUGACAUUGUCCAUUUAAGCAAGGUAGUUUAGGCCACAGUAAUGGCAGAAAAAGGGGAUAAUUUGAAAAUAUUCCAGAAGGACUUCAUUGUAUGUGGGGUUCAUGAUGUCUCGCGACUCCUUUCCGUAUAUGACAAAUACAGCAAAGUUAGGAGGGGGAAGAAGUAUUUUGCUUUUGCUACCAAAAGAAAAACUGUCUGAAGAUGUCUAACCCAGGAAAGCAAGAAAAUAUACAGGCCUAUUUAACAGACCUCUAUGACUAUUUCAAUGGGAAAAAAAAUUUUUAAUGUGUGUAAUGAAUAGUAAACAUAUAAGCAAGUGUGUGUGUGAAUGCCAGUUACUCAAGGGGCCUAGAUGAAGCAGAAAGCCAGGCUAAACACAAAGGUGGAUAUGGAGGUUGAGGGUCACCAAGCUUUUUCAUUUCUGUAAAGAUUGUUCUGUGUGAACAACAAAGAUUUGGUAUUAAAGUUAAAAGAUGAAACGAAAAACAGUUAAGCCCCAAAGUUGUAACCCCAGGGCCUAGCGUGCCCGGCACUUUGGGGACCGAGAUGGGAGGAUUACUUGAGUUCACAAGUUCUAGAUCAGCCUGAGCAACAUAGCGAAACCUCAUCUCUUCCAAAAAUACCAAACUUAGCCGGUCAUGGUGCCUAUAGUCCCAGCUACUCUGGAGGCUGAGGUGGGAGGAUCGCUUGAGGCUGGGAGGCGGAGGUUGCAGUGAGAUGGGACCACAGCACUCCAGCCUGGGAAUAAAAUAAUUUUUUAAAAGCCACUUGGUUAAGGAAGCCCUCAUUUUGAAGGUGACAUAUGAAGAAAAACUUGAAGGAGCUGAGGGAGCAUUUACUGAGAGAAGACUGUUCUAGGCAGAGAGAAGGGCCAGUCAGUGCCUGGGCCUGAGGCAGAAGCGUGGCUGAUGUGCUCUGGCACAGGAAGGGGAAGAAAAGUGGGAAAUGAUGUUGAAGAAUGGAGGCGGCACAAGCAGAUUUUUCAGCUCCUUGUGGACCAUAGUUAGGUCUUUAUCUUUUAUAAAAUGAGAGGAUUUUGAGUGGAAAGGCGAUUUGAUCAUUUAAACAAGAUCAUUCUAGCUCCUGUGUUGAAAGGAUCCUGAAGCGGAGCCGGGGCCAAAUCAGAGAGGACAGUGAUGAGUCCGUUGUAAUAAGCCAGGCAAGAAAUGAUUGUGGCUCAGACCAAAGUGGUAGCAGUGAGCUGGUGGGAAGUGGAGUCUGGAUAUAUUUUGAAGGUAUAAGCAACAGAAUUUCCUGACAGAUUGGAUAUAGGAUACAAGAAAGAUUGCAUGUAAGAAGUAUCAGUUCUCAAUACAAGAAGCCUGAGAAGGGAUGAGCUCUCAUGAAGAGCCAGAGUGGCAUUAUACUGCAGCCUGGAACACACCCCAGGCUGGGGUCAGGAGAUGUGUGGCAUGUCGAGAAACCUUCAUAAAGAUAACAUAAUUUUUGGUUGUGAUUGAAAUUAACCUGAUCCUUUUCGGAACCAGCUUGAAAGAGUCACCUCUAGAAAACCCAAGGAAGGUGUGGUAGCCAGCCUCUAAAAUGCUCCUUUUUGGCUUUGUUUUUAUUUUUAUUUUUUUGUUUUUUUGAGAGAGAGUCUCGCUCUGUUGGCCAGGCUGGAGUACGGUGGCACAAUCUUGGCUCACUGCACCCUCCAUCUCCUGGGCUCAAGCGGUUCUGCCUCAGCCUCCCGAGUAGCGGGGAUUACAGGUGCGCGCCACCAUGCUUGGCUAAUUUUUGUACUUUUAGUAGAGAUGGGGUUUCACCAUGUUGGCCAGGCUGGUCUCGAACUCCUGACCUCAGGUGAUCUGCCCGCCUCGGCCUCCCAAAGUGCUGGGAUUACAGGCGUGAACCAACAUACCUGGCCAAUGCUCCCGUAUUAUUAAUACCACCUCCUGGUAUUCACUGCCUUGUGUAAUCUUCUCCCUUGUUGUGGGCUAGACCUAUUGACUUGCUUCUAAUAGGAUAUGGCCACAAAAAGAAUGGGAUGUUAUCCCCAAAAUCACAUAAUGAGGAGAUCGUGACCUCCCAGCUCCUGUAUCCCUUCCUCUGGCUGUAACAAGCUGCUAUUUCAGCUUUAUCUCAUAGCUCCACCACCCUAAGUUCCAGCCAUAUUGUAUUACUCACUUUCCCAAACAGAGUUUCAGCUAAACUGAUCAAGAUGUUACCAUUUUAAGACGUUUAAGAAAGAAAUUUGAUCAAACAAAAUAAGUAGACUAAAAUAGAUAAAAGCCUUUAGACUAUCUAGAAAUUCCCUGGCUGUUUUAAACAAAUUCAAGUGUGAAACUGAGGAGUACUUGGCCAAAAUAUGGUUACAAACAACCCCUGGGCAGAGUAUCAUUUUCCAGAUGGGACACCUGUCUUGUAAAAGACUGUUGAGGAUUUGGGGAAGCAAAGAACUUACCACUAUUCUGGGCUGUAACAAAGGAGAAGCUCAAUAAAGACUAAAAAAUACUGUACAAAGAGAGGACAUAGAGGAUCACUUGAGCCCAGGAGUGCUGGGCUGUAGUGGGCUGUGUUGAUCAGGUGUCUGCACCAAGUUGAGCAUCAGUAUGGUGAACUUCCAGGAACUAGAGACCACGAGGUUGCCUAAGGAGGGGUGAAUCGACCCAGGUUGGAAAUGGACCAGGUUAAAACUCCUGUGCUGAUCACUGCUAGUGGGAUUAUGCCUGUGAAUAGCCACUACCCUCCAGUUUGGGCAACAACAUGACCCCAUCUUUUUUUUUUUUUUAAAGUCCAGGCGUGGUGGCUCACACCUGUAAUCCCAGCACUUUGGGAGGCUGAGGUGGGCUGAUUGCCUGAGCUCAGGAAUUCGAGACCAGCCUGGGCAACAUGGUGAGACACCAUCUCUACUAAAAACACAAAAAUUAGCCAGGUGUGAUGGCGCAUGCCUAUGGUCCUAGUUACUCGAGAGGCUGAGGUACGAGAAUUGCUUGAACCUGGGCAGCAGAGGUUGCAAUGAGCUGGGAUCACGCCAGUGAACUCUAGCCUGGGCAAGAGAACAAGACUGCCUCAAAAAAAAAAAAUGGUUUUAGGAAAGGAUAAGACAUGGAAACAAAACCGCACAAUUGUAUAAGUAAUCAUCAAGUAUUAGAAUUAAUGAGUGAAGUUAACAAGGUCACUGGAUACAAACUUAGUUUACAAAAAAGUCCAUUUCUGUGUAUAACAAUAAAGAGGAAAUUAAACUUUUAAAGUGAUAUAUACCAUUUACCUUUGGGAAAAUAUCAAAUAUCUAGUCAUCUGAUGAAAGAUGUGUAAGACCUAUGCACAAAGCAUUACAAAACAAUAUUGAGGAAAACUUUUUUAAAGCCCUAAAUAGAGGGAAUGUCAUUUUUAUGAUUUGGAAGAUGCACAGAUUCAACAUGAUGCCAAUUAAAAUCCCAGCAGGAUUUGUGAGUGCGUUUGCAUCUGUGUUGUGUGUAGAAAUUGACAAGUUGAUUCUAAAAUACAUGCAAAAUGCAAAAGGCCGAAAAGAGCCAAGAGAAUUAAAGAAGAAUGAAACUGGGCAACUUUACUACCAAAUAUCAAAACCUGGCUGUUUAUUUUACUUUUUAUUUUUUUUGAAAUGGAGUUUCACUCUUGUUGGACAGGCUGGAGUGCAAUGGCAUGGUCCUGGCUCACUGCAGCCUCCGCCUCCUGGAUUCAAGCGUUUCUCCUGCCUCAGCCUCCCAAAUAGCUGGGAUUACAGGUGCCUGCCACCAU
Molecule: long non-coding RNA, 5810 nt
Filed under: Homo sapiens (human)
Lineage: Eukaryota; Metazoa; Chordata; Mammalia; Primates; Hominidae
Description: non-protein coding lnc-CUL1-1:2
Rfam family: Metazoan signal recognition particle RNA (bases 4519-4830)
Source: RNAcentral